RNAcentral lists this ribosomal RNA (492 nucleotides) under uncultured bacterium. RNAcentral describes it as "partial 16S ribosomal RNA". It matches the Rfam family "Bacterial small subunit ribosomal RNA", at positions 29 to 507 of the family's 1533-position model. The record is from RNAcentral.
AGUGAACGCUGGCGGUAGGCCUAACACAUGCAAGUCGAACGGCAGCACAGUAAGAGCUUGCUCUUACGGGUGGUGAGUGGCGGACGGGUGAGGAAUACAUCGGAAUCUACUUUUUCGUGGGGGAUAACGUAGGGAAACUUACGCUAAUACCGCAUAUGACCUACGGGUGAAAGCAGGGGAUCUUCGGACCUUGCGCGAUUGAAUGAGCCGAUGUCGGAUUAGCUAGUUGGCGGGGUAAAGGCCCACCAAGGCGACGAUCCGUAGCUGGUCUGAGAGGAUGAUCAGCCACACUGGAACUGAGACACGGUCCAGACUCCUACGGGAGGCAGCAGUGGGGAAUAUUGGACAAUGGGCGCAAGCCUGAUCCAGCCAUACCGCGUGGGUGAAGAAGGCCUUCGGGUUGUAAAGCCCUUUUGUUGGGAAAGAAAAGCAGCAGGUUAAUACCCCGCUGUUCUGACGGUACCCAAAGAAUAAGCACCGGCUAACUUCGUG